Molecule: transfer RNA, 73 nt
Filed under: Ovis aries (sheep)
Lineage: Eukaryota; Metazoa; Chordata; Mammalia; Artiodactyla; Bovidae
Rfam family: tRNA
About the family: Transfer RNA (tRNA) molecules are approximately 80 nucleotides in length. Their secondary structure includes four short double-helical elements and three loops (D, anti-codon, and T loops). Further hydrogen bonds mediate the characteristic L-shaped molecular structure. tRNAs have two regions of fundamental functional importance: the anti-codon, which is responsible for specific mRNA codon recognition, and the 3' end, to which the tRNAs corresponding amino acid is attached (by aminoacyl-tRNA synthetases). tRNAs cope with the degeneracy of the genetic code in two manners: having more than one tRNA (with a specific anti-codon) for a particular amino acid; and 'wobble' base-pairing, i.e. permitting non-standard base-pairing at the 3rd anti-codon position.
Source: Rfam by way of RNAcentral
UCCCUGGUGGUCCAGUGGUUAAGACUCUGCGCUUCCGAGGCAGGGGGCAUAGGUUCAAUCCCUGACCAGGGAA